Caenorhabditis elegans is the source of this 132-nucleotide non-coding RNA. The record is from Ensembl. NCBI's taxonomy places the organism in Eukaryota, Metazoa, Nematoda, Chromadorea, Rhabditida, Rhabditidae.
ACGAUCAUGUACUACUAGUUCGAGAAAAGCCUCGGGUCGUUGUGGUAUGGCAUCGUCUUAGUCUUCGUCGUUGAGGGAGGAAAAAAGAAGAAUCGAACAAAGACAAUCCACUUGUUCAAGAUUUUCUCUCUC